Molecule: transfer RNA, 60 nt
Filed under: Syphacia obvelata
Lineage: Eukaryota; Metazoa; Nematoda; Chromadorea; Rhabditida; Oxyuridae
Description: tRNA-Ser
Source: RNAcentral
GAUAAACUUUUGAGGUCUUCUAAACGCUUAUUGACUUUGAGUCGUUUGUUUUUGUUUGUG